AAGAAGUAAAACGUAAUUAAAAAUAGACAAAAUCAGAAGGGAUUAGGGUUCUGAAAGUGUGACCUUUGGAGUCGAACGCGCAGCUCCUUCUUCGUCCUCACAAAUUCACGCCGAUGGCGGUGGCUUAACGGUGAAAUCUCCGAUCGGAGCUCCUUUCCACUUCCACGCAUCACAAUGAAAUCAUACGUGUACUCUCUUCUGCUUCUCGUCUUUGCGUAACUCGCGUUCGUCUCAAAUCGGUCUCUCUCUCGUUUUGGUUUCGUUAAAGCUCGUCUCUGAUCCACCCGCCGGAUAAAGCCUGAUCUCUCUUCCACGUCGUUAAUGAGAAGAGCACCCCAACGUUAUAUCCAGAAGCUUGUGAACUUGGUGACGAUAAUGGUGCGGUCGAGGGUGUAUGGCUGUUGUUGAGUGAAGAACCGAUGGAGGAGCUUGGAUGAAUCGAUUGAAGGUUGAAGAAUUGAGCUGGAGUGUGAAGAUGAUGAAGGAUGAGGUGGAAGAGAGUAUGAUGAGUUAUGGAUUGGAGAUUCGUGGAUGAAGAUGAUGAUGAAUGAAUGGGCGUGGUUGAGGUGAUUGAAGAUGGUUGAAGGUUGAGAUACAGAUUCGAAGAAUGAAUGGAGGUGGUGGAAGGUUCCUUGAAUGGUGACUGCGGAAGCAUUUAUAUAUUGCCAGUGAUUAGGGAAUGAUGGUGAAUUCUUGGGUGUGGGACUUGGAGCGCAGCUUGCAACAUGGCUUUCUCCAAUUCUCGAAUGUGGGACUAUUGGCUGAAUCACAUAGAGUGCGUGGAUGUGAAACUGCGAACGGAAACUUAAUGCGUUGAUAUUGAACCAUGGCUUGUUGCUGAAUCUGAUGUUGUUCAAAUCUCGUUUUACAGGUCUGAAGCUUGAAUGGAUGUGGUUGAAAGUUGUUGUGAUGCUGAUUAGUGAUGUGAAAUGAUUUUGUGAAUAUGUGCAGGGCUGGAUUUCUCGGUUUAAUGGUUGAAUUUGAGUUAGGUUUUGUAGCUGGAAUCAAAUGGCCUAGAUGGAACAAAGAUGAAGGAAACUCAAAUUUAUCAAGGAAGACUUGAGGCUGCCAUAGAUGAGCUGGUGUAUACUGGUAUUUAUUCAUGGCUAUAAGGGCUGUGUGUGGCUGUAUGCUAACUGAUGUGGAUUGCGGCUUGAUAAUCGACUUGAACUGGGCUGUUUUAAUGUUCAGAUUCGCUAUGUUACGGACCGGUGUUGUUCUCCUUUUUUGAAUGGCUGAAGAGUUAUUGUGAAUAUCUCAUGGGUUCUUAACACCCGAUGAAGGCCAAACAAAGCUCUCGGAAGUCGAAAGUUUAAAACUUAUUCAAUGGAGCUUAGGAGCUUAGAGAUUUUAGGCUUAGAAAUAAGUUUAUGAUGUUUCUUUUUUUCCUUUUUCUGGUUUCAAAAGUGUAAAACAAUAAGGUGUUGGUAUGGUUUGUAAGGUGAAUAAAGGUUGUAAUUUCUGAAUGAACAUGAAUGAGGUUUGAUGAAAAUUUGCUGAAACUUAUAGAGUUGAAUUUGAACUGAUCCACACGGACCCUGUGUGAACGCCAUGCUUUGAAAAAUGAUAUCGAAUAAACUCUCCUUGUAUCAAUCUUCAAAUCCACCUUACUGAA
Vicia villosa (hairy vetch) is the source of this 1615-nucleotide long non-coding RNA. RefSeq lists it as uncharacterized. The record is from RefSeq and is a predicted model, not a curated record. NCBI's taxonomy places the organism in Eukaryota, Viridiplantae, Streptophyta, Magnoliopsida, Fabales, Fabaceae. The transcript is spliced from 5 exons.